GACGAACGCUGGCGGCGUGCCUAAUACAUGCAAGUAGAACGCUGAAGAGAGGAGCUUGCUCUUCUUGGAUGAGUUGCGAACGGGUGAGUAACGCGUAGGUAACCUGCCUGGUAGCGGGGGAUAACUAUUGGAAACGAUAGCUAAUACCGCAUAAAAUUGAUUAUUGCAUGAUAAUUAAUUGAAAGAUGCAAUUGCAUCACUACCAGAUGGACCUGCGUUGUAUUAGCUAGUUGGUGAGGUAACGGCUCACCAAGGCGACGAUACAUAGCCGACCUGAGAGGGUGAUCGGCCACACUGGGACUGAGACACGGCCCAGACUCCUACGGGAGGCAGCAGUAGGGAAUCUUCGGCAAUGGGGGGGAAACCCCUGACCCGAGCAAACGCCCGCGUGAGUGAAAGAAAGGUUUUUCGGAU
This 414-nucleotide ribosomal RNA is filed under the name Streptococcus sanguinis. RNAcentral describes it as "bacterial SSU rRNA". It matches the Rfam family "Bacterial small subunit ribosomal RNA", at positions 28 to 423 of the family's 1533-position model. The record is from RNAcentral. Lineage: Bacteria; Bacillati; Bacillota; Bacilli; Lactobacillales; Streptococcaceae.